RNAcentral lists this unclassified non-coding RNA (3702 nucleotides) under Haliotis rufescens (red abalone). RNAcentral's name for it is "serine/threonine-protein phosphatase 6 regulatory ankyrin repeat subunit C-like, transcript variant X2". The record is from RNAcentral. Lineage: Eukaryota; Metazoa; Mollusca; Gastropoda; Lepetellida; Haliotidae.
GCGAGGUCGGCGGGUCAAAUGUAGUUCCUAACAUGGCUUCGAGUAAUCUCAGAGGUGUAUUUUUAGCAGGAAUGGCCGACGGUUUUCGGAGUGGUGUGGAUGGAUAGUGAAAGCGGGGCAGUACAUUACUCUUUAUUCUUUAUUCAUUGUGUGGUCAGCGUGAAAGUGAAAGCACACGUUAACAUCUGUAUUAUCUACGGGCGUUCUGGACACGAAGCUGACAUUCCUAAGGGGUGAUGCUGACAUAGACCAUGUUGGACAGGGGCCUGCUGUUGCUACUACUGGUAGUGGGCGUAUUGGGCCAGGAGUGUCCCGUGGGCAAAUAUGGAGAACACUGUCAACUGAACUGCAGCCGUUCCUGUUUCCCCCAUUCCGGCCAGGAUGUGCACUGUGACAGACACAGUGGUAGAUGCUCUGAGGGAUGCGUGGUUGGAUGGUACGGCGGCCAGUGUCUCCUGUCCUGUAGCAGGAACUGUCGGAGACUCAUCUGCAGUCAGCAGACUGGUCAAUGUACUCUGGGAUGUAAGGGAAACAACACAGGGCAUUUCUGUGAGAUCCACCAUGAAAGUGGUCCCAAUCACAGUGAAGACCAGACAUCACCGGAAACCAUCUCAACUCCAGAAACCACCUCAACUCCCGAAACCACCUCAACAACAGAAACUACCUCAACUCCACUGGCUGCUAUACUUGUACCUGUGUUCGCCAUACUCAUCAUCAUCUUCAUCAUCAUCAUCAUCAUCACUGUGUCUGUAUACAGACGGCGAAGAAGAUCUGUGCGGGCCCCUGACACAGAGAGGGAGCCAGGGAGCCCAGAAACACCCCGGCACUCAGACCACGGUGGAGCCUGGAGUGAGAUGGAAGCACUGAGCUCUUGUACCACACUAGAGUCUGACAUACACGCCUUGAGCGGAGAGGAGGAAACACAGAAGACUGGGACACCCCUAGGACCUGAUACAGGAGCGACACCGAUCCCCGCAUAUGGUGACCCCUGGGCAGACUAUGACCUGCGUGAAGCCUGCUGUAGGGGAAAUAUGGCGGCUGUCAGAGGGGUCCUGGUGGCAGGUCAGGUUGACCUCAAUUGUAGAGAUCGGCAUGGGAGGACACCAGUGAUGACCGCCGCAGUGAAGGGAUACAGAGACGUGGUGGAGCUCCUGGUGAGUGAAGGGGCUGAUGUGUCCCUGGUGGACGAUGUCGGUGACAACACCCUUCACUUGGCCUCUCGGGGAGGAGACAUAGAGACAGUAAAGUUGGUCCUGUCUCUGAAUGUGCUGGACAUCAACAGUAGAGGAGGAUGGCGGUGGAAAACACCAGUGAUGAUAGCGUCACAGAAUGGACACAGAGAAGUGGUGGAGGUCCUUGUGAGUGAAGGAGCUGAUGUGUCACUGGUGGACUGGUACGGUGACAACAUCCUCCACUGGGCCUGUCGGGGAGGAGACGUGGAGACAGUGAAUUUUGUUCUGUCUCUGAACGUGGUGGACAUCAACGCCAGGAACAAGUGUGGAAGGACAGCGGUUGACACAGCGAGACCUAGGUAAGAUCAGAAAUUGAUGGAUCUCCUGGUGACGUGGCGCUCAGUGACGUGAGUGUAGUGUUUGAGCAGACAUUGAAGGAGGCAUGUUGUUACCUACAGUGACGUUGUGUGUGACUUAACAUUUCAGGCUUAUGGUGAGAAUAUUUUUUUUAUAUCUUUGAGGAGAAAAUAACCAUUGUGAGACUUUUAUCAUCUGGGUUUUUUUGGUACUUCUCAUGAUCAGUUAAGGAAAUUGUUGAACAAGUGUAAAUAUAGAUAAUGUGUGAUCAGCAUAUAAAUCUUAGCAUCUGGUAAUAUAAUUCUUUGUCAACUCUAUGUCAAAAGUUCAGAAUAUUAAUGGUGAAACAGUCACAACUAUGGAGGUACAAUCAAGCAUGCUCUUUCUAUGCAGAUUUCAGAGAAGUGAUGCAAGUCUUGCUCAAAAGAUGUUUGAUUAAGGUUACAACAUUCAAGGUGAACACUUGACUUGACUCACAUCUGAUAGUGACUGCGCCAGCAGGCCAAGGGAUUGUGUAGAUGUUCUGUUGUCCAAAGAAGUCAGUGACCACAAGGGGAACGUGAGGGCAUGAAUGGUCCAGCUGUGAAGUGAUUUGACCUCCAUGGGUCUGCGGGAUUGUGAGGACGUGAAUGGUCCAGCUGUGAAGUGAUUUGACCUCCAUGGGUCUGCGGGAUUGUGAGGACGUGAAUGGUCCAGCUGUGAAGUGAUUUGACCUCCAUGGGUCUGCGGGAUUGUGAGGGCAUGAAUGGUCCAGCUGUGAAGUGAUUUGACCUCCAUUGGUGUGCAGGAUUCUGAGGGCAGAUGACUUUGUCAUGGGACCAUCCACCUGUCAAAUUGCCAUCAAUGACCACAAGAGGGGUCCUGUGAUGGACAUUACUUGUCCACCACUGAAUGCUGAACAUUGAGCAACACACGGGUCGCAAUGAAACCAGAACUCUCUGAAGUGGAUUAACCUCCAAUCCUAUAACCUGAACGUUAGAUGUUGUCUUGACCAUGCCAGGCAUGCAGUUCCAGUGGAAGAAACCUUGGUUGUACAGCUGGACCUUGUGGACGACGCUAAGCUGUCAUUAUUGAUUCCUUACAGUCUUGCACUGAUCGGAUGUAUAUCAAAGAUGCAGUCUGAAACCAAUAUCCCAGGAGAACCAGACGGAUAUGAUGCCAACAUGACAUUACUUUGUGGACAUCUAGAAGGUGCUCGAUCCCAGGUGCUGUCAGUCUAUUCGUGCCAAGUCCAGAAUCAAACACCAAAAUACAUAGCAACCACAUUUUGUGGCACACAACCACUCACUUUAAGAUAGCUUUGUUUUUCACAGCUAAACACAGCUAAACACUUCAACGAAUUACUUGUUGAAUUGACUUGGUCCCACAUGUCCUGUGAAUGUGUGACAAAUUUGUUAUUCAUGGGCACGCAGAGACCAAGAUCCACGUGUAGUUUCGGGGGCAUUAUGAGUAAACAUGAUAAACUGUUUGCACAUAUGUGAAUCAUGCAUGAUUCUGAAAGAUCAUGGCAUGUUUUGAUUUGUGCAUGAUGCCACACUCACUUCAUCUGUGAGCACAUGUGGACUAUUGUUGCAUGGCAGUGUAAUUUAUUGUUAAACAAUGUUGUAUUGUAUUGUUUAUGCUACGAUUCAUAAAAAGUUUAUGGCACUGUGUUUUGAUAAUGAUUAGUUGUCAGGAAUGAAGUACUAUUCAAUGUAAGCAGUGGUAGAAAGUUACUAUACCUAGAUGCUUUUUUGAGACAAGUGUGAUGUUGAAUCAGCAAGACUCAUCCAGCACUGUAUGGAGCCUUCAAGAUGGGAUGUAGACUGUAUAAUGGGGCAGCGCAUGCCUCUCCCAUCUCACAUUACGUCUCACAUGACAUCAAGACCAGCGGUUGUAUGAAGAUUAUCCAGCCUGGACCUAUUUUGGAAGAUUUUCGAUCGUUGCAGCUUGGUGAAUAUUAUUACCACUGGUACUGAAUUUUAUGGUCCCACUGAAUUUUGUACAGCCAUUGUAAAAACUUUGCAGUAAUCUAUACCAUCCUAUACUGACUUGUAAACCGAGCAAAUUCUAUAAUUCAGUUGUUAAUUGUAUACCAUUUCUUUGUUUUUUGUUGGUUUUACUAUUGAUAUCUGGGUUAACUAAUUGUUUUAACUUGAAAGUCAACACGUAACAAUAUAUUGUUUACAUAAUG